CACUCACUGGCAGACGCACACACUCAUUGACAGACACACACUCUCAUAUACAUUGACAAACAAUGACAUACACACACUCACUGAUUUGACACAUUGAUAGACAGACACACACUUUUACUCGGACACACACUGACAGACUCACACUCACUGACAGACGCACACUCUCACUGACAGACGCACGCACUCACUGAUCGUCACACACACACAUUCAUU
Non-coding RNA from Pelobates cultripes (western spadefoot toad), 213 nucleotides. The record is from the annotation of a GenBank genome assembly. NCBI's taxonomy places the organism in Eukaryota, Metazoa, Chordata, Amphibia, Anura, Pelobatidae.